This 725-nucleotide ribosomal RNA is filed under the name uncultured bacterium. RNAcentral describes it as "bacterial SSU rRNA". It matches the Rfam family "Bacterial small subunit ribosomal RNA", at positions 8 to 746 of the family's 1533-position model. The record is from RNAcentral.
AGAGUUUGAUCCUGGCUCAGAAUGAACGUUGGCGGCGUGGAUUAGGCAUGNAAGUCGAACGCUUCAUGUAGCAAUGCAUGAGGAGUGGCGUAAGGGAGAGUAAUACAUAGUUAGCUGCCCUCGGGNUCUGGGAUAGCGGCGGGAAACUGCCGGUAAUACCAGAUGAUAUCUUCGGAUCAAAGGUGUGAUUCCGCCCGAGGAGGUGACUGUGUCCUAUCAGCUAGUUGGCGGGGUAACGGCCCACCAAGGCUAAGACGGGUAUGGGGCGUGAGAGCGUGCCCCCACUCACUGGGACUGAGAUACUGCCCAGNACACCUACGGGUGGCUGCAGUCGAGAAUCUUCGGCAAUGGGCGCAAGCCUGACCGAGCGACGCCGCGUGCGGGAUGAAGGCCUUCGGGUUGUAAACCGCUGUCGUAGGGGAGGAAGCGACCGUGUAGAACGGAAGUUGACCGAUCCUAGGAGGAAGGGCCGGCUAAUCUCGUGCCAGCAGCCGCGGUAAUACGAGAGGCCCAAACGUUAUUCGGAUUUACUGGGGCUUAAAGAGUUCGUAGGCGGCGCAGAAAGUGGGGUGUGAAAGCCCCUCGGCUCAACCGAGGAAUUGCGCUCCAAACUACUGUGCUCGAGGAAGCUAGAGGUGAGCGGAACUGAUGGUGGAGCGGUGAAAUGCGUUGAUAUCAUCAGGAACACCGGAGGCGAAGGCGGCUCACUGGGGCUUUUCUGACGC